UAUUGCACAAUGGAGGAAACUCUGAUGCAGUGACACCGCGUAUAGGAAGAAGGUUUUCGGAUUGUAAACUAUUUUAGACAGGGAAGAAAAAAGACAGUACCUGUAGAAUAAGCUCCGGCUAACUACGUGCCAGCAGCCGCGGUGAUACGUAGGGAGCAAGCGUUAUCCGGAAUUAUUGGGUGUAAAGGGUGCGUAGGCGGGCUUUUAAGUCAGCGGUAAAAAUUCGGGGCUCAACCCCGUCCGGCCGUUGAAACUGGGGGCCUUGAGUGGGCGAGAAGAAGGCGGAAUGCGUGGUGUAGCGGUGAAAUGCAUAGAUAUCACGCAGAACCCCGAUUGCGAAGGCAGCCUUCCGGCGCCCUACUGACGCUGAGGCACGAAAGUGCGGGGAUCGAACAGG
RNAcentral lists this ribosomal RNA (397 nucleotides) under uncultured bacterium. RNAcentral describes it as "bacterial SSU rRNA". It matches the Rfam family "Bacterial small subunit ribosomal RNA", at positions 362 to 776 of the family's 1533-position model. The record is from RNAcentral.